GUUCUGAAAUUAGCUCCUCUCUUCAUGUAUUGCCGUGGGACUAAUCAAGGACCUGAUCAUCGAAGGUGGCGGUAAGGCGUGUGAGCAAUUAAUUAUCAGGUGUUAGCUUGGAAAGGCAUAUGCAAGUGUUGUCUUUGGGAACCCCAAGUUCAUUUCCAACAACAAAUGUAUAAUUGAAUGUUUACCGGUGAGCUCAUAGUUUAACCAAUCGGCUUCUUACAAAACCAUUAUCAAAUGUAUUUCUCCAUCUUUCCUCACCUUUCAUGCUUCCCCUCAAUUUUUCUUCUCUUUCCCUUUGCUUAUUUUAUUUGUCCUUUCAGUUUUGCCAGGCUAGGAAAUCACUGGUCGUGUCAGGAAAUCAGUUUGGAAAUCCUCUUGGAAGGUGACCGAUGCGCGAGCGUUGCUGCAGAGUAGGUAGUCAAGAAGCAUGUUGCGGCCAUCGCUGCUGUCACCAGCACGCAACGCUGGAACCAAAACGGACGUGUGGAGCAUCAUGUGGAGGUCAUCGAUCGAGCAUGGGGAUGUCGGCUUUCCUUAGUCUUGGUCAUCAAAGCUUGUCUAUCGAGCGAGCAGUCAUUUAAUUGUGCAACAGUUGUUCUGACAAGAGAUGCUUGUGGAGGAAUAUCGGGGUGACUGCAUACUGACACAAGAAGGCUAGAACAAUGACUCGAAAAUCGGUUUUCUUGGUAUAGGCGAUGGAAGUGUACAAAAGUGCUAAAAUAAUGGUUGAUGGUCUAAUUGAGUGAAGAUAAAAUACUUAAAAGUUUUGAUCUACAUGCUACAAUCAAGCCAUCAGUAGAUCAAUAGGAAG
Lolium perenne is the source of this 811-nucleotide non-coding RNA. NCBI's taxonomy places the organism in Eukaryota, Viridiplantae, Streptophyta, Magnoliopsida, Poales, Poaceae. The record is from RefSeq and is a predicted model, not a curated record.